AGUGUCUGGAAGAAGUAGAGCCAGGAUCCACCCCUUCCCAGACCUCACUUAAGGGUUGGCAGCGGAGAUGAGGGCAUCUCUUGCUGGAGAUUCCUGCCUACCUGAGGCCUUAGAAAGUUGCUCUUCAAAUAAGUGUCAUGGAUGAAGGUACCCAGACUCUGGGGAAGAAUUGAGAUUGCCCAUGUAUCACUACACCAACCACAGUGUACCGAGUUACAGACAUUUGCAACAACAGACAUGCCAGACACGCAUUGCUAGUAGGUGUUCCUAAGUGGACAGCAUCUUGGAAAUGAAGGGUAGGAUGGAUGAUUGGAUGAUAAAGAAUACAGAGAUGAAACAGUCGGAGACAAAAGGAAAGAAGCACAGAGAUAUAAAAUGGCAGAGAGGUCACUGCCAUUGCUGAAUCCAGUAGUGUGCAUGUGAAAAACUGCUUGAUAUCUUCUUUUGCUUCUGUUGCACUGGGCUACUGCGAUCUACUCAAAUGGCAAAAGGUGCUCUGUGAAGGGAGCAUGAAGAAGUUGUGAAAAGUCACUGUUGUCUCCUCCACUAGUUUAGUAGACCACACACUGCAGAAGGCAUCAAAAAGAGGUUUGAUUAUAGUUGACCAAUGUCAUCUCUUCCUUCUAUGGUACCCAGAAAGCACACUGGUGGCAAGCAGGCUGGAUACAAGUGUCUCAGAUGUUCCCAGUGUCUCCACUGGAUUUUCAUGACAUAUGCACCACCUCCAGCCUUUCACAGUACACAACUGUGCUAUGAG
This 757-nucleotide long non-coding RNA is filed under the name Gallus gallus (chicken). RNAcentral describes it as "lncRNA (ENSGALG00010000500.1)". Lineage: Eukaryota; Metazoa; Chordata; Aves; Galliformes; Phasianidae. The record is from RNAcentral.